AUUGAACGCUGGCGGCAGGCCUAACACAUGCAAGUCGAACGAGUGGCGGACGGGUGAGUAAUGUCUGGGAAACUUCCUGAUGGAGGGGGAUAACUACUGGAAACGGAAGCUAAUCCCGCAUACUAUCAGAUGUUCCCCUAUGGGAUUAGCUUGUUGGUGGGGUAAAGGCUCACCAAGGCGACGAUCCCUAGCUGGUCUGUGCGGAUGACGAGACACACUGGAACUGAGACACGGUCCAGACUACUACGGGAGGCAGCAGUGGGGAAUAUUGCACAAUGGGCGCAAGCCUGAUGCAGCCAUGCCGCGUGUAUGAAGAAGGCCUUCGGGUUGUAAAGUACUUUCAGCGGGGAGGCGUUACCCGCAGAAGAAGCACCGGCUAACUCCGUGCCAGCAGCCGCGGUAAUAC
This 406-nucleotide ribosomal RNA is filed under the name uncultured bacterium. Its description in RNAcentral is "partial 16S ribosomal RNA". It matches the Rfam family "Bacterial small subunit ribosomal RNA", at positions 30 to 526 of the family's 1533-position model. The record is from RNAcentral.